CGAACGGGUGAGGAACACGUGAAGAAUCUGCCUUCAACUCUGGGAUAACUCCGGGAAACCGGGGCUAAUACCGGAUAUGAGCCUUGGCCGCAUGGCCGGGGCUGGAAAGUUUUUCGGUUGAAGAUGACUUCGCGGCCUAUCAGCUUGUUGGUGAGGUAACGGCUCACCAAGGCGACGACGGGUAGCCGGCCUGAGAGGGCGACCGGCCACACUGGGACUGAGACACGGCCCAGACUCCUACGGGAGGCAGCAGUGGGGAAUAUUGGGCAAUGGAGGAAACUCUGACCCAGCGACGCCGCGUGAGGGAUGAAGGCCUUCGGGUUGUAAACCUCUUUCAGUAGGGAAGAAGCGAAAGUGACGGUACCUACAGAAGAAGCACCGGCUAACUAUGUGCCAGCAGCCGCGGUAAUACAUAGGGUGCAAGCGUUGUCCGGAAUUAUUGGGCGUAAAGAGCUCGUAGGUGGUUCGAUACGUCGGAUGUGAAAAUCAGGGGCUCAACCCCUGACCUGCAUUCGAUACGGUCGAGCUAGAGUUUGGUAGGGGAGACUGGAAUUCCUGGUGUAGCGGUGGAAUGCGCAGAUAUCAGGAGGAACACCGAUGGCGAAGGCAGGUCUCUGGGCCAAUACUGACACUGAGGAGCGAAAGCGUGGGGAGCGAACAGGAUUAGAUACCCUGGUAGUCCACGCCGUAAACGAUGGGCGCUAGUUGUGCGAACCUUCCACGGUUUGUGCGACGCAGCUAACGCAUUAAGCGCCCCGCCUGGGGAGUACGAUCGCAAGAUUAAAACUCAAAGGAAUUGACGGGGCCCCGCACAAGCAGCGGAGCAUGCGGCUUAAUUCGACGCAACGCGAAGAACCUUACCAAGGCUUGACAUAUACAGGAAUACGGCAGAGAUGUCGUAGCCGCAAGGUCUGUAUACAGGUGGUGCAUGGUUGUCGUCAGCUCGCGUCGUGAGAUGUUGGGUUAAGUCCCGCAACGAGCGCCACCCUCGUUCUGUGUUGCCCGCAUU
Molecule: ribosomal RNA, 1009 nt
Filed under: uncultured bacterium
Lineage: Bacteria
Description: bacterial SSU rRNA
Rfam family: Bacterial small subunit ribosomal RNA
Source: RNAcentral